UCAGGUGUCUGCUCACCUUCAUAGAAAACACAACAGCAGGCCGAGCUUCAGUCUGAAGAUGAUCAGCAGUGAAGAGGUGAGUGUGAAAGAGAUGUGAGCUCUGGAUGAAAAUGCAACAACAGAAAGCUGCAAAACAGACAGAAAAACAGCAGAGAGAGAUUUUUUUUUCAAGAGCAAAAUUAGAGCAUGUGGAGGAGGAAGAUAUGGCCGAGCAGAUAUGAUUCAGAGGGGGCAGCGUGAUGUGAGGUGCUUCUUGAAGAAAUGAACCUUUAAUGAUCCGCUUGGGAUUCAGUCCGACCGCCAGCAGAGGACGAGGAGGGAUGCCGCUGCUCUGAUUAGACGAGGAAGGUCAAACUCCCAGGUCUCCUGCAGCUGACGGCACGGCGUUAGUGGACACCUGAUUUGUUUUCUCUGGCCUUUCUCGACCCCCUCCGCCUCCCCCACUCGCUCCUCUGGACAGGAAAUCAGUUAAACCCCCCGGAGACUCUCUGUGCUCAAUAUGGCUGCUGUUGGAGAUCUGAGGACAUUUCCAGCUGUUUUUGUGGCAUCAACGCCAAGUGUUUUAUAAGAAAACCUGGGGACAUUUCCAGCUGUUUUUGUGGAGUCAAAAUCAGGUGUUUUUUAAAGGAGACCUGGGGAUAUUUCCAGCUGUUUUUGUGGAGUCAACGCCAAGUGUUUUAUAAGAAAACCUGGGGACAUUUCCAGCUGUUUUUGUGGAGUCAAAAUCAGGUGUUAUUUAAAGGAGACCUGGGGACAUUUCCAGCUGUUUUUGUGGAGUCAAAAUCAGGUGUUUUUUAAAGGAGACCUGGGGAUAUUUCCAGCUGUUUUUGUGGCAUCAACGCCAAGUGUUUUAUAAGAAAACCUGUGGACAUUUCCAGCUGUUUUUGUGGAGUCAAAAUCAGGUGUUUUAUAAGAAAACCUGGGGACAUUUCCAGCUGUUUUUGUGGAGUCAAAAUCUGGUGUUUUUUAAAGGAGACCUGGGGAUAUUUCCAGCUGUUUUUGUGGCGUCAAAAUCACGUGUUUUUUAAAGGAGACCUGGGGAUAUUUCCAGCUGUUUUUGUGGAGUCAACAUUGAGUGUUUUUAAGGAGACCUGGGGACAUUUCCAGCUGUUUUUGUGGAGUCAAAAUCUAGUGUUUUUUAAAGGAGACCUGGGGAUAUUUCCAGCUGUUUUUGUGGCGUCAAAAUCACGUGUUUUUUAAAGGAGACCUGGGGAUAUUUCCAGCUGUUUUUGUGGAGUCAACAUUGAGUGUUUUUAAGGAGACCUGGGGACAUUUCCAGCUGUUUUUGUGGAGUCAAAAUCACGUGUUUUUUAAAGGAGACCUGGGGAUAUUUCCAGCUGUUUUUGUGGAGUCAAAAUCAGGUGUUUUUUAAGAAAACCUGGGGACAUUUCCAGCUGUUUUUGUGGUGUCAAAAUUAGGUGUUUUUUAAAGGAGACCUGGGGACAUUUCCAGCUGUUUUUGUGGUGUCAAAAUUAGGUGUUUUUUAAAGGAGACCUGGGGACAUUUCCAGCUGUUUUUGGGGCGUCAACUCAGAUUGUUUUUUUUAGGGAGACAUGGGGACAUUUCCAGCUGUUUUUGUGGUGACUAAAAACAGCUAUUUUUCAUGGGAAGUUGGACAAUCUCCAUCUUUGAUGGUGGCUGUCUGCAAAAGUGAUGCUUAUUAGCUCCAUAUAUCAAAGUGCAGGUGUUGCAGGAUAGAAGCAAAUUCUGUAGUAGAAACACAGCGUUUAUGUAACAUUGUCUCAUUUUCAAGGUGAAAUAAAAGGAAAAGGAAAGUUUAGACACUUUUGUUUUAUAAUUCUUCUGAACAAACAAUACAAGACUGAAAACAGAACAAACCAAGGUCUUCAGAUGACUCAUGACUUCAACAUGAUGUUCUUCACUUUUGUACUCGUCUCUACAGAACAGGUGUUUCUGCACGGCGGAUGUCUUAAGUUUUAGAAACAGGCUCGGUGUUCGACAGAUGUUGGAGGUUAUGGAGGCCAUCAUAAAUCUCGUUAAGGCUCAUUUAUGCUCAACGUUAUCUGGAUUCUGACAGAAUGCUGGAGCCUCAUCUAUCUUAUGAAUCUUGUGCUGUAGAUCAAAACAGCAACAAGAAAUACAACAACAAUGAGACGAAGAGGGAGAGAAAGUCACCAGACUCCAUUGGAAAAUCACUUAAUUAUGUGAGUUUGGAGUUUGGAGAAACUUACAUACUUUUUGAAAUGCUGUCUAUGAUGAAUUCUUAAUUAUUUGGGCCUUCUUGUAAAUUCAGCAUAUGUUAUACAUUAAAAUCUUUCUGUCUUUGUGUCUGUUUGUCCCAGUGAUACAUGCGAAACGACAAUGUUUCUCUAAACCUAACCAGACCUCGACCAUACGUGAUUCCAGUACGCGUGUCGUUGUGAUGCGUCGAUGGUCGCGCAGUUUUCAGUGGUUUAGGUUUGAGGAUGUUUAAAUCCAGACGGACAGUAAUGGAGUUGCGUCAGAAGACUGUUGAUUGUGGGACAGCUUGUUGCUCUCGUCUGCUGUCCUCCUCUGAUGUGAUGCUCUCUGAUUGACUCAUAGUUUAGUUUCCCCCGCAGGCCGUUUUCAUGUCACCCUCCAAUCAGAGGCCGGAGACUGGAAUAACACAGCGUGA
RNAcentral lists this long non-coding RNA (2617 nucleotides) under Sparus aurata (gilthead seabream). Its description in RNAcentral is "lncRNA (ENSSAUG00010020242.1)". Lineage: Eukaryota; Metazoa; Chordata; Actinopteri; Spariformes; Sparidae. The record is from RNAcentral.